This 799-nucleotide long non-coding RNA is filed under the name Homo sapiens (human). RNAcentral's name for it is "HSALNT0408128". The record is from RNAcentral. Lineage: Eukaryota; Metazoa; Chordata; Mammalia; Primates; Hominidae.
GGAGGAUACUGUCCCCAGGAGCACCCUCCCUGCUGGUCUUGUCCCUCUGCCCCUCCCACCUGCACAUGUCACACUGACCACAUCUGUAGACAUCUUGAGUUGUAGCUGCAGAUGGGGACCAGUGGCUCCCAUUUUCAUUUUAGCCAUUUUGUCGCCUGCACCCACUCCCUUCAUACAAUCUAGUCAGAAUAGCAGUUCUAGAGCACAGGUUCUCAGUCUAAGCUGUGGAAAAGCUCCCCUUAUCCAACAGAGUUUAAAAGUAGUGACUUGGGUUUUUGUGAGUGCUUUGUUUACUAAGGACUUUGGGGAGGAACAUGCUAAGCCACGACCAAUGAGGAGAAGCAACAGAGCCUGUCUGUCCCCAUGAGCAGAGUCUGUCCUCUGCUCUUCUGCAGUCAGGCCACUGCCUGGGGGCUCUAGUCAUUCCAGUGGAAGAUGAAUGUAAUCUGCAUGGUGAUGUGACAACUGUUUCCUCCUUGACCCCAGAGGAUCUGGCUCUAGGUUGGGAUCAAUCCUGAAUUUCGUUAUGUGUUAUAUUUACUUUUAUUAAAAAAGUAUAGUAUAUAUUAAUAAUACAAAACAAUAACCCUUCUGGGGUUUCUUGUGGCGGUUGAAAUAGUCCCACAUGUGGUCAUCAGAAAAUAAGCCAUUCCUCAUACCAAUAUAGGAUCAGCUCCUUGACCUCUGAGGGGCAGGAGUGCUUCCUGGUGUGUGUAUUAGAAUCCCUUCCUGCCUUGUUUCAUGGCAGUGAAAUGCCUCUUGGUCCUGUCCAAGUGUGUUUUUUUUUUUUUUUUUUUUU